AGUUAUUUGGAAGAAACUGAAUUAUUUUCUUUUUGAAUUAAAAAAAUCAAAAAAUAGAAAAAGAUAUUUUAGAAAUUAAAGUAGGUUUUGAUAAAAAAAAGGGGUUUGAAAAGAAAGUUAUAGGGUGCUAAUAGUCCCACUCAGUAGCUAUAAAGACUAGGGGUGGGCAUAUAACUCCACCUGAUCCGAUCUGACCCGAUCCGAUCCGAAUAUUUCUGAUUCGGAUCGAACGCAGCUUGAAGGAGUAAUCCAAUCAGAUGAUUUCUUGUCAAUCCGAUUGGAUUGUAUUUAGAUUGGAUCAAACCCAAUCCGAUCCAACGAUCCAAUUGGAUUGAAAAGCAAAAUAAAAACACACUAGUAGUUCUAGCACACACACAAAGCCCCCCACACCCCCCACAAUAACACACACACCCCCCACACUAAAAGACCACACCCACGCACACAAAGCCCCACACGGCGACACGCACCACAACAAAAAAAAAAGACAAAAUUACAUAACUAAUUUUUCUACACUCACACUAGGGUGCUAAUAGUCCCACUCAGUAGCUAUAAAGACUAGGGGUGGGCAUAUAACUCCACCUGAUCCGAUCUGACCCGAUCCGAUCCGAAUAUUUCCGAUUCGGAUCGAACGCAGCUUGAAGGAGUAAUCCAAUCAGAUGAUUUCUUGUCAAUCCGAUUGGAUUGUAUUUAGAUUGGAUCAAACCCAAUCCGAUCCAACGAUCCAAUCGGAUUGAAAAGCAAAAUAAAAACACACUAGUAGUUCUAGCACACACACAAAGCCCCCCACACCCCCCACAAUAACACACACACCCCCCACACUAAAAGACCACACCCACGCACACAAAGCCCCACACGGCGAUACGCACCACAACAAAAAAAAAAGACAAAAUUACAUAACUAAUUUUUCUACACUCACACUAGGGAUGGUAAAAAUCUCCAUGGAGACGGGUACCCUUGGGGAUUUUUCCCCUUCGGGGAGGGUACAAGGAUAAUUUUAUACCCAAUUUCUUAUUCGGAGAAGGGACGAGGAAAUAUUUUUACUCAGUUUCUUAUUCGGGGAAAUUAAAGUAGGUUUUGAUAGAAAAAGGGUUUGAAAAGAAAGUUAUAGGGUGCUAAUAGUCCCACUCAAUAGCUAUAAAGACUAGGGGUGGGCAUAUAACUCGACCUGAUCCGAUCUGACUUGAUCCAAUCCAAAUAUUUCAGAUUCGGAUCGAACGCAGCUUGAAAGAGUAAUCCAAUCAGAUGAUUUCUUGUCAAUCCGAUUGGAUUGUAUUUAGAUCAGAUCAAACCCAAUCCAAUCUAACCAUCCAAUCAGAUUGAAAAGCAAAAUAAAAACACACUAGUAGUUCUAGCACACACACAAAGCGCCCCACACCCCCCACACUAAAAGACCACACCCACGAACACAAAGCCCCACACGGCGACACGCAUCACAACAAAAAAAAGACAAAAUUACAUAACUAAUUUCUCUACACUCACACUAGGGAUGGCAAAAAUCCCCACAGGGACGGGUACCCUCGGGGAUUUUUCCCAUUCGGGGAGGGCACGGGGAUAAUUUUAUACCCAAUUUCUUAUUCAGGGAAGGGAUGGAAAAAUUUUUUUACCCAGUUUCUUAUUCGGGGAAGGGACGGGGAUGAGGUGGAAUCCUCAUCCCCUCCCCAUUUCCCCCAUUUUAAUUUUUUAUUUUAUUUUUAUUUUUUAAAAUUGCUAGUAAAUAAAUAAUAAAAUUUGAAUUAUAUUAUUAAACUUUUAGGUCUAAUUAACUAGGAAAAUUAUCAUUCGUAUACCCUAUAAAUGCUCUAUUAUAAAAAAUACUACAACACUUUAAGGGUGUAUCAAUCGUCCACCUUAAGUUGACAAAAUGUAUCUGCCAUCCACCAAACCGUUACUUGCCGUUUAAAUAGGAUAACGCCAGAGGGGUAAUUUGGUCUUUUUAUAUGAUACAAGUGAUAAUUUAAGGGUAUACAAGUGAUAAUAAAAGAAUUUAAGGGUAUACAAGUGAUACUUUUCAAGGGUAAAAUUGUCAAUUCGCUAUAAUUCCCUUAACUUUCAAACGGCAGCUAACGGUUUGGUGGUCGGUAGAUAGCUUUUGUUAAUUUAAUGUGCACGAUUGAUACACCCUCAAAGUUUUGUAGUAUUUUUGAUAACAGAGCAUCUAUAAGGUAUACGAAUGAUAAUAUCCCAAUUAACUAAUUAAAGUCUUAAAUUUUUUUUAGGACAUUAAAAAUGCCGGGUAGAUUCUAUUAGCCCAAAAAUUUUGUUUUAAUUUUAAUUUUUUUUAUUAAAAAUAUUAAUUAAGUAUCUACAUUUAUUUCAUUUAUUUUAUUAUCGAUAUAAAAGUAAAUUCUUUUUCUUUUUAUUGUAGGAUUAUGAAGAUUGACAAAGAUAAUUAUUUUGAUAAUUUGUAUUUUGCAUGUGACUUUUGUAAUGGAUCAAUGUUAAUGUAAGAUAUAUUUCGAACUUUACUUUUAUUUGAAUUUUUUUAUUUUAAUAUAAUUAACUCAAAAUCGAAAAUAAAAAAAAUAUAUAUUAGUUAUUCGGGGAUGGAGAGGGGACCCUCGGAGAUCCCCUGUUAUUAUUUAGGGAGGGGAUGAUGAUUCUCUCAAAUAAUUCUGACGGGGAUGGAGAGGGGAUGGAAACAUACACAAAAUAUCGGGGAUAAGUACGAAGAGAUUGAUCCCCUCCCCAUUGCCAUCCCUAACUCACACACAAGCUGAAGCUACCGUCACUGCCGAACUACAAAACAAAAGCUCCAAAUCAGCCAUUCACCACCAAUCAUGCCACUAUCCACUGCAAAACCAAAUUGGCACACUGCACCACCACCGUCCACCUUUGCCUUGAUCGCGCCAACCACCACCAAGCACAGCAGAUCCAUGGUCAUGCCAAGUCGCCAAGUCAACAGCCUGCCAGCCUCUGAUUUGAUCACACCUCGCCUCGCUAUCGUUUGCCGCACAUUCUUUUUAGUAUAUUUUAUUUCACUUUUUGUUUGUUUAUUGAAAAAUUAAUGAGAAAAAAUGAAAUCUAUUAGCAUUGAAGGCUCAAGGGUGAGUCAAAAUAGUUGAAGGGUUGUUAAAUCCUAAUUGUAUUAUAGUGAAAUUACUCUGUAAAACUGAAAAACAAUUGGCUUUGAAUUUAUUUUGUUUAUAAUAAACAUUGAAACAAAUCCUCUCUACUGUUUGCGUAAAAAUAAGAGCAUCCAAGUGUUUUAUCUGAAUUUAACCCGAGAUUGUGAUCCAAUCCGAUCUGAUUUGAUUCGAGAAAUGAUUAUAAGUUCGGAUUGUAUUCGGAUGAUUUUUUCUCAACCCGAUUAAUCCGAAAUCUGGUCGAAUUGAUUCAAACCCGAUCCAAAUUUGAAUUUGCCCAACCCUAAUAAAGACUAGUAUGUGAAGAUGAUUAGGUCUUUGUUGUCAUUGGUACUGUAGUGUAAUUUUUAAACCACAAUUCUUAUAGAAUGCAAGUUCUAGAUAUCAAAUAUAUAUAUAUAUAAGCAUAGGCGGCUUGUGCCCUAGGCAACUUAGGCGGUUGCCUAGAGGCCCCGCUAUGAUG
Molecule: long non-coding RNA, 3546 nt
Filed under: Citrus x clementina
Lineage: Eukaryota; Viridiplantae; Streptophyta; Magnoliopsida; Sapindales; Rutaceae
Description: Citrus clementina (C. clementina) long non-coding RNA (CCLE_LNC003388)
Source: RNAcentral